This 252-nucleotide ribosomal RNA is filed under the name uncultured bacterium. RNAcentral describes it as "partial 16S ribosomal RNA". It matches the Rfam family "Bacterial small subunit ribosomal RNA", at positions 524 to 774 of the family's 1533-position model. The record is from RNAcentral.
UACAGAGGGUGCGAGCGUUAAUCGGAAUUACUGGGCGUAAAGCGCACGUAGGCGGCUUGGUAUGUCGGGUGUGAAAUCCCCGGGCUCAACCUGGGAACUGCAUCCGAAACUGCCUUGCUAGAGUAUGGGAGGAGGGAAGUGGAAUUUCCGGUGUAGCGGUGAAAUGCGUAGAUAUCGGAAGGAACAUCAGUGGCGAAGGCGGCCAACUGGUCCGGUACUGACGCUGAGGUGCGAAAGCGUGGGGAGCAAACA